Molecule: ribosomal RNA, 902 nt
Filed under: Enterococcus casseliflavus
Lineage: Bacteria; Bacillati; Bacillota; Bacilli; Lactobacillales; Enterococcaceae
Description: bacterial SSU rRNA
Rfam family: Bacterial small subunit ribosomal RNA
Source: RNAcentral
AAAAGUUUUUUUAAUUCUGGCUCAGGACGAACGCUGGCGGCGUGCCUAAUACAUGCAAGUCGAACGCUUUUUCUUUCACCGGAGCUUGCUCCACCGAAAGAAAAAGAGUGGCGAACGGGUGAGUAACACGUGGGUAACCUGCCCAUCAGAAGGGGAUAACACUUGGAAACAGGUGCUAAUACCGUAUAACACUAUUUUCCGCAUGGAAGAAAGUUGAAAGGCGCUUUUGCGUCACUGAUGGAUGGACCCGCGGUGCAUUAGCUAGUUGGUGAGGUAACGGCUCACCAAGGCAACGAUGCAUAGCCGACCUGAGAGGGUGAUCGGCCACACUGGGACUGAGACACGGCCCAGACUCCUACGGGAGGCAGCAGUAGGGAAUCUUCGGCAAUGGACGAAAGUCUGACCGAGCAACGCCGCGUGAGUGAAGAAGGUUUUCGGAUCGUAAAACUCUGUUGUUAGAGAAGAACAAGGAUGAGAGUAAAAUGUUCAUCCCUUGACGGUAUCUAACCAGAAAGCCACGGCUAACUACGUGCCAGCAGCCGCGGUAAUACGUAGGUGGCAAGCGUUGUCCGGAUUUAUUGGGCGUAAAGCGAGCGCAGGCGGUUUCUUAAGUCUGAUGUGAAAGCCCCCGGCUCAACCGGGGAGGGUCAUUGGAAACUGGGAGACUUGAGUGCAGAAGAGGAGAGUGGAAUUCCAUGUGUAGCGGUGAAAUGCGUAGAUAUAUGGAGGAACACCAGUGGCGAAGGCGGCUCUCUGGUCUGUAACUGACGCUGAGGCUCGAAAGCGUGGGGAGCGAACAGGAUUAGAUACCCUGGUAGUCCACGCCGUAAACGAUGAGUGCUAAGUGUUGGAGGGUUUCCGCCCUUCAGUGCUGCAGCAAACGCAUUAAGCACCCCCCACCG